Molecule: long non-coding RNA, 487 nt
Organism: Anguilla rostrata (American eel)
Lineage: Eukaryota; Metazoa; Chordata; Actinopteri; Anguilliformes; Anguillidae
Exons: 2
Source: RefSeq, a predicted model, not a curated record
AACGCAGAGGGAAAAGAAAACACAAAUCCAAAAUGGGAGGGGAACAAAGACUUUACUAAAGACAGGCAAACAAGCAGGGAACAGACAAGGCCACAAAGGGAAAAACACGAACUCAAAAAAACUCUAAAUAACAGAAAACAAGAGGAACUCAAACACGGGCAGGGUAGAACACGGUCAGGGCAGAACGCAGGUAGGCAGAACACAAGGGCAAAUUAACAAGUCAGGAACAAAACAAGUCAGGAACAAAACAAGUCAGGAACAAAACAAGUCAGGAACAAAACAAGUCAGGAACAAAACAAGUCAGGAACAAAACAAGUCAGGAACAAAACAAGUCAGGAACAAAACAAGUCAGGAACAAAACAAGUCAGGAACAAAACUAGUCAGGAACAAAACUCAAGCAGGCAGGUACAUAGAAGUCAGGGAACAAACACAAGCAGGCAGGUACAUCAAAGUCAGGGAACAAACACAACUCGGGAACAAACACAAA